CUCUCGUUGUGCUUAGCCUAUUUUCUUUUUCUGCUUUAACAUUAGACGUUCAAUUUCAAUCAUGUAAAAAAUUAAUGGAUUUAAUUUAGAAUCUGAUGCAAGCUAAAUUGUUCCAAAUUAAGAGUUGAUCUUAUAAAAUUUGCUGCUCAUUAUAAGGUUGGUUUUCAUGAAAUUUUAUUUAGAGACAUCAGCUUGAACUGAAAGAACUUGAGAUGAAACAGGCUUGCCGCCUCGUUCCACCUUUUCGAGAACAAGAGGUUUUAGUGUUGCUGUCAGUGCCUGGAUUUACAUCGCAGGCUCUUUACUAUGGUUCUUACCAGGUGAAAGAAAAGAUUCUCUGGUGAUCAAAGAGCAGGCGCUGUCCGGUGUUGAUUUACCUGCGGAUGGAGUGCUGUCCAGUAAUGAACUUUUGACCUAGCCAUUAUCUUUCACUGUUCCUGACAGCGUCAAUGUCCUGUCUACACCCUGAGGGGGAGGAUGAUGUUGAUUUUCCCUCUAUAGUACUGGGGAUGGGAAGAUUGAAAAAUUCCAAGAUAACAGAAAAUGUGAUUCACAUUUUUCUCAUCUGACUGUUACUGAACAUGCUAAAGUAAUUAAAGUUACUUAGUAC
Long non-coding RNA from Cyprinus carpio carpio, 610 nucleotides. The record is from Ensembl. Lineage: Eukaryota; Metazoa; Chordata; Actinopteri; Cypriniformes; Cyprinidae.